Molecule: ribosomal RNA, 497 nt
Filed under: uncultured bacterium
Lineage: Bacteria
Description: partial 16S ribosomal RNA
Rfam family: Bacterial small subunit ribosomal RNA
Source: RNAcentral
GAUGAACGCUGGCGGCGUGCCUAAUACAUGCAAGUCGAGCGAACAGACGAGGAGCUUGCUCCUCUGACGUUAGCGGCGGACGGGUGAGUAACACGUGGAUAACCUACCUAUAAGACUGGGAUAACUUCGGGAAACCGGAGCUAAUACCGGAUAAUAUAUUGAACCGCAUGGUUCAAUAGUGAAAGACGGUUUUGCUGUCACUUAUAGAUGGAUCCGCGCCGCAUUAGCUAGUUGGUAAGGUAACGGCUUACCAAGGCAACGAUGCGUAGCCGACCUGAGAGAGGGAUCGGCCACACGGGAACUGAGACACGGUCCAGACUCCUACGGGAGGCAGCAGUAGGGAAUCUUCCGCAAUGGGCGAAAGCCUGACGGAGCAACGCCGCGUGAGUGAUGAAGGUCUUCGGAUCGUAAAACUCUGUUAUUAGGGAAGAACAAAUGUGUAAGUAACUAUGCACGUCUUGACGGUACCUAAUCAGAAAGCCACGGCUAACUACGUG